This 645-nucleotide unclassified non-coding RNA is filed under the name uncultured Prochlorococcus sp. RNAcentral's name for it is "partial 16S-23S ribosomal RNA intergenic spacer; may also contain 16S ribosomal RNA and 23S ribosomal RNA". The stretch from base 305 to 377 matches the Rfam family "tRNA". Lineage: Bacteria; Bacillati; Cyanobacteriota; Cyanophyceae; Synechococcales; Prochlorococcaceae. The record is from RNAcentral.
UUGUGGAGGAGGACGCCGAAGGUGGGGCUAAUGACUGGGGUGAAGUCGUAACAAGGUAGCCGUACCGGAAGGUGCGGCUGGAUCACCUCCUAACAGGGAGACAACAAAAUGUUUAAUAUUAUUAUUUUGUCACCUUAGGUCGAUCGGUAUCUCACUUUUUUAAUUUAUUAAGAAUUUCAUUUCCUAAGUUUUUCUAGGUCACACCCAUUAUUUUCCCUGGGCCAUUAGCUCAGGUGGUUAGAGCGCACCCCUGAUAAGGGUGAGGUCCCUGGUUCAAGUCCAGGAUGGCCCAUAUCUCUAUGUUGGGGGUAUAGCUCAGUUGGUAGAGCGCCUGCUUUGCAAGCAGGAUGUCAGCGGUUCGAGUCCGCUUACCUCCACUGAUUACCACCUCUUCCAUAAUUUGUAGAAAGGAAAUUUUUGAGUUGUGGUCAAAUUCUGAACGAAUCUAGCUUCCUAAUGAAAUUAUUAAGAUGCUGGACUCAUUGAAUUAUUUUCAUUGUUUUCAGAGAACCUUGACAACUGCAUAGAUUAUUUUUAAAGACAAUAAGCAUCUUUAAUGAUGCAGAUUUAUUAUUUGUGCGAAUGCAUUAAUAACAAUUCUAUUAAGCUGAUGCUUCUAUUUUGAAGUUAUUGGUCAAGCUACAA